This 565-nucleotide long non-coding RNA is filed under the name Gallus gallus (chicken). The record is from RNAcentral. Lineage: Eukaryota; Metazoa; Chordata; Aves; Galliformes; Phasianidae.
CCAACCCCAUAGAUAGGGGGACCCCAAAGCCAUUACCAACUUCUGGAGUGCUGAAACAAGCUGACCUGCCCCCCCAAACCCCUUCAGGAAACGGGGGACCACUCUGUAACCCUCCCCUAAAUAGCCAUGAGACCCCACCCCACAUCUCCAGACCGCCUCAACGCCCCGACUCCGCGUAUAUUUUUAUUGCCAAAGCUGCUUUUUUAACCAUUUCAUACAAAAAUAAUAAACCUCCGUCCUCAGAACUGCAUGGCUGCCAUCAGUGUGUCUGAGAGCUUGGUGGCGAUUUUUUCUGCUCUUUUUUGCAGCUUUUUCCUCCGUUUCCCAGCGGCCGCCAACCCCUGGCCCUGCAGCAGUGGGGGGAGUGCAGCCACCUCCUCCAGACGUGGGGCACGGGGUGGGGGGUCUUCCUCUUCCCCGCCUCCCCCCGCCUUCGUCCGUGCCUUCAGCUCCACCGUCACCGCACCGAGCUUCAGGUCGUCCCCUUCGUCCUCCUGCUCGUGGCUGUCCUCCAUGGUCUCCUCCUCCUCCUCCUCAGGGAUACAUGGGGACAUCUCAAUUCCUG